This 208-nucleotide unclassified non-coding RNA is filed under the name Hevea brasiliensis (rubber tree). The record is from RNAcentral. Lineage: Eukaryota; Viridiplantae; Streptophyta; Magnoliopsida; Malpighiales; Euphorbiaceae.
GCAGCAACUAAAAGCAAUUGGAAGACUGUAUUGACCUUGCUAAUAAGAAGAGGUUCCACCUUCUCUCGAUGAGUUCCAUCAAGAUUGACAAAAUUGGACCAAUCUUUCCACUUCCACCCCAGGCUAGAAGCUCUUCUAUAAAUCACACCACCAACAAGACCCACAUCUCUCAACACAACCAGGCCCACCAGUCCAGGGUGUAAAAGGC